This 343-nucleotide unclassified non-coding RNA is filed under the name soil metagenome. RNAcentral's name for it is "partial contains 5.8S ribosomal RNA, internal transcribed spacer 2, and large subunit ribosomal RNA". The stretch from base 1 to 120 matches the Rfam family "5.8S ribosomal RNA", at positions 35 to 154 of the family's 154-position model. The record is from RNAcentral.
GAUGAAGAACGCAGCGAAAUGCGAUAAGUAAUGUGAAUUGCAGAAUUCAGUGAAUCAUCGAAUCUUUGAACGCACAUUGCGCCUGCCAGUAUUCUGGCGGGCAUGCCUGUUCGAGCGUCAUUUCAACCCUCAGGCCCCGUCUGGCGUUGGGGAUCGGCGCGGCCCUCUCCGGGCUGCCGGCCCCGAAAACUAGUGGCGGUCUCGCUGUAGUCCUCCUCUGCGCAGUAGCAACGCUCGCACUGGAACUCGGCGCGGCCACGCCGUAAAACACCCCACUUCUGAAAGUUGACCUCGGAUCAGGUAGGAAUACCCGCUGAACUUAAGCAUAUCAAUAAGCGGAGGA